UCAACUCAUGUACCUCAACUUGAGUUGACCAACAAUUAAAGAAGACGACCUGCUCCACCUGCUGAUCUACUGGUUGUAACAGAUUGUGGAAAAGCAUCACCAGCAGCACUGGACCAAUCAGGAGAGAGAAGACACAGAGGACUGAAGGGACUCAGAAAAUCCUGCUGGAAAUCCCAAGAUGAAGUUUCCUGAUGCAACAAGGGGACACCUGAGGACACAGAAUAAAGAAGGACCAUGUGAAGCAGGUCCUUCAAUAACAAACCAAGCAUGAGUUGACCAACACUUACAGCAGGUUACUUUGUCCAUCUACUGAUCUACUGGUUGUAACAGAUGAUGGUGAAGGUUGAGGAGAUAAUGACUUGAUCAGAAACUGUGGCCGACAACUGCAAACGCGCAGCAAACAGCAAAACGAGCUGCAAACAGACUCAUGAAGAGGACGGUCAGAGUCGUCCAUAGCUUUCUUGACUCUUCUGAAGAAUCUUUCUUUGCGUCAUCUCCAGAGGUUCCACAGUCAUCUCCAGAACAGAACCAGAACCAAUCCAGCCUUCUUUAUCAGAUUGUUGAGCCUUUUGAGGUUCCUGGCUCUGAUGCUGCUGCACCAACAGAUGAUAGCAGAAGAGAUGACACUCUCAGCAGCAGACUUAAAGAUCUGCAGCAACUUGCUGCAAACCUUGAAGGAUCUUAGCUUCCUGGAGAAGUGCAGUCUGCUCUGUCUCUUUUUGUAGACGGCUUCACUGUUGCGUCUCCAGUCCAGUCUGGACUGGACUGGACUGGAAUAUAAACACAGAGGUAUUUAUAUUCCUGAACCACCUCCACAUCUUCUCCCAUGAUGGAAAUAGGGUUUCCUGUUUCUCCUGAAAUCAACAACCAUCUCCUUUGUUUUGUUUACAGUCAAGAUUAGAUGAUUGUUCCCUCACCAGGCCACAAAGUGAUCCACCAGAUCUCUGUACUCAGCCUCUUGUCUUCCUCUGAUACACAACAACUGCAGAGUCGUCUGAGUAUUUCUGUAGAUGACAGAAGUCGGACUUGUGCUGGAAGUCUGAACAGUAGAGAGUGAAAAUGAAUGGUGAGAGUACAGUGCCCUGUGGUGUUCCCAUGUUGUUGACCACCUGGUUAGACACACAGUCCUUCAGUCUCACUAACUGUAGUCUGUUUGUCAGGUAGUCACAGAUGCAGGUGAUUGUUGAGGCCUCCACCUGUGUCUUCUGGAGUUUCUAACAGAGCAAAUCAGGCUGAAUUGUGUUCAAUGCACCUGGGAACCAAAGACCCUGAUCCUCACUGUGCUGCCUGCUUUGUCCAGAUGACAGUGGGUUUGUUGAAGCAGGUGUCUGAUCAACUCCAACUCCACGGCGAUAAGCAAACUGCAGGGGGUCCUGAUAUGUGAUCGUCUGCUUACUCAAGUGGGCCACCAGGAGUCUCUCCAGGACCUUCAGGAUGUGGGACGUCAGGGCAACAGGUCUACAGUCAUUAUGACUGAUGGGUGACUUUUCUUCGGUACCGGAACCAGACAGGAUGUCUUCCACAACAACGGAACCUCCUCUUGGGUCAGGCAAAGGUUGAAGAGAUGCUGCAGAAUCCCACAGAGGGAAUCUGGGACUGACAGCAUCUGGACCUGCAGCCUCGUUCCUGUUCAGUCUCUCCGGCUGCUUCUUCACCUGACUUCUAGAUACAGAAAAGUUGGAGGUGGAGGCAAAGGGAGCAGCAGCGUCUCCUGAUGUGGUUAAAGACAAACUUGUGGAAGCAGAAGAGUCCAUGACUGAGGUGGAAGAUGGAACAUCUGAGGUUUGACAGGAAAGCUGUGGGUCAGAGGAGGACGAGAAAUCUGUCUGGCUGCAGACAGGAGAGGAAGAUGAUGAGCUUGUUCCUGGACUGAACCUGUUGAAGAAUGUGUUCAGCUCAUUUCCUCUGUCCAGAAACUAAUAUUGUUAUAAAGAAAAGUCAUGGUAGCAUGUUUUUAUGUAAUAAUGUGUAUGUAAUGUUUGGAAUGAAGAAGAUAUGCUGCAUAAUCUGAUGGAAUUACAGAAGAUCAUUGUGGCUCCUGCUCAGUGCAAAAACACACAUUUUGUUGGUUUCUGAAGAGUAAAAAUUGAACAAAUGUGUACAUUUAAAGAUUAAAUUUAUAUUUCACAGUCAUCACAAUGCUAAAGAAAAUUCUCACAACAGUGUGAAAAUCAUGGUGUUUAUUUACAGGACAGGAAGCAGGAGGAAGAUAUUAAAGAAUGUAAAAUAUUUUGCAGUGUCAGGUUAUUUCUAUGUAUUAUGAUGUAAUAUAAUACAUGUAUUUUUGGACUUAUUGUAUUCUGUUUUAUAUUUGUGUGUAACUUUCACUUGAUUUGUGAAAGCAUGGAAAGUAAUUAAGCUGAUCAUAGAGUGAAAUAACAUUAAGUUGUAAGUAAAUUCAAUAAAAGC
This is a long non-coding RNA of Xiphophorus maculatus (southern platyfish), 2409 nucleotides long. RefSeq lists it as uncharacterized. Lineage: Eukaryota; Metazoa; Chordata; Actinopteri; Cyprinodontiformes; Poeciliidae. The record is from RefSeq and is a predicted model, not a curated record. The transcript is spliced from 3 exons.